RNAcentral lists this ribosomal RNA (2550 nucleotides) under Escherichia coli UMEA 3200-1. RNAcentral's name for it is "bacterial LSU rRNA". It matches the Rfam family "Bacterial large subunit ribosomal RNA", at positions 397 to 2925 of the family's 2925-position model. Lineage: Bacteria; Pseudomonadati; Pseudomonadota; Gammaproteobacteria; Enterobacterales; Enterobacteriaceae. The record is from RNAcentral.
CUGUGAGCUCGAUGAGUAGGGCGGGACACGUGGUAUCCUGUCUGAAUAUGGGGGGACCAUCCUCCAAGGCUAAAUACUCCUGACUGACCGAUAGUGAACCAGUACCGUGAGGGAAAGGCGAAAAGAACCCCGGCGAGGGGAGUGAAAAAGAACCUGAAACCGUGUACGUACAAGCAGUGGGAGCACGCUUCGGCGUGUGACUGCGUACCUUUUGUAUAAUGGGUCAGCGACUUAUAUUCUGUAGCAAGGUUAACCGAAUAGGGGAGCCGAAGGGAAACCGAGUCUUAACUGGGCGUUAAGUUGCAGGGUAUAGACCCGAAACCCGGUGAUCUAGCCAUGGGCAGGUUGAAGGUUGGGUAACACUAACUGGAGGACCGAACCGACUAAUGUUGAAAAAUUAGCGGAUGACUUGUGGCUGGGGGUGAAAGGCCAAUCAAACCGGGAGAUAGCUGGUUCUCCCCGAAAGCUAUUUAGGUAGCGCCUCGUGAACUCAUCUCCGGGGGUAGAGCACUGUUUCGGCAAGGGGGUCAUCCCGACUUACCAACCCGAUGCAAACUGCGAAUACCGGAGAAUGUUAUCACGGGAGACACACGGCGGGUGCUAACGUCCGUCGUGAAGAGGGAAACAACCCAGACCGCCAGCUAAGGUCCCAAAGUCAUGGUUAAGUGGGAAACGAUGUGGGAAGGCCCAGACAGCCAGGAUGUUGGCUUAGAAGCAGCCAUCAUUUAAAGAAAGCGUAAUAGCUCACUGGUCGAGUCGGCCUGCGCGGAAGAUGUAACGGGGCUAAACCAUGCACCGAAGCUGCGGCAGCGACGCUUAUGCGUUGUUGGGUAGGGGAGCGUUCUGUAAGCCUGCGAAGGUGUGCUGUGAGGCAUGCUGGAGGUAUCAGAAGUGCGAAUGCUGACAUAAGUAACGAUAAAGCGGGUGAAAAGCCCGCUCGCCGGAAGACCAAGGGUUCCUGUCCAACGUUAAUCGGGGCAGGGUGAGUCGACCCCUAAGGCGAGGCCGAAAGGCGUAGUCGAUGGGAAACAGGUUAAUAUUCCUGUACUUGGUGUUACUGCGAAGGGGGGACGGAGAAGGCUAUGUUGGCCGGGCGACGGUUGUCCCGGUUUAAGCGUGUAGGCUGAUUUUCCAGGCAAAUCCGGAAAAUCAAGGCUGAGGCGUGAUGACGAGGCACUACGGUGCUGAAGCAACAAAUGCCCUGCUUCCAGGAAAAGCCUCUAAGCAUCAGGUAACAUCAAAUCGUACCCCAAACCGACACAGGUGGUCAGGUAGAGAAUACCAAGGCGCUUGAGAGAACUCGGGUGAAGGAACUAGGCAAAAUGGUGCCGUAACUUCGGGAGAAGGCACGCUGAUACGUAGGUGAAGUCCCUUGCGGAUGGAGCUGAAAUCAGUCGAAGAUACCAGCUGGCUGCAACUGUUUAUUAAAAACACAGCACUGUGCAAACACGAAAGUGGACGUAUACGGUGUGACGCCUGCCCGGUGCCGGAAGGUUAAUUGAUGGGGUUAGCGGUAACGCGAAGCUCUUGAUCGAAGCCCCGGUAAACGGCGGCCGUAACUAUAACGGUCCUAAGGUAGCGAAAUUCCUUGUCGGGUAAGUUCCGACCUGCACGAAUGGCGUAAUGAUGGCCAGGCUGUCUCCACCCGAGACUCAGUGAAAUUGAACUCGCUGUGAAGAUGCAGUGUACCCGCGGCAAGACGGAAAGACCCCGUGAACCUUUACUAUAGCUUGACACUGAACAUUGAGCCUUGAUGUGUAGGAUAGGUGGGAGGCUUUGAAGUGUGGACGCCAGUCUGCAUGGAGCCGACCUUGAAAUACCACCCUUUAAUGUUUGAUGUUCUAACGUUGGCCCCUGAUCGGGGUUGCGGACAGUGUCUGGUGGGUAGUUUGACUGGGGCGGUCUCCUCCUAAAGAGUAACGGAGGAGCACGAAGGUUGGCUAAUCCUGGUCGGACAUCAGGAGGUUAGUGCAAUGGCAUAAGCCAGCUUGACUGCGAGCGUGACGGCGCGAGCAGGUGCGAAAGCAGGUCAUAGUGAUCCGGUGGUUCUGAAUGGAAGGGCCAUCGCUCAACGGAUAAAAGGUACUCCGGGGAUAACAGGCUGAUACCGCCCAAGAGUUCAUAUCGACGGCGGUGUUUGGCACCUCGAUGUCGGCUCAUCACAUCCUGGGGCUGAAGUAGGUCCCAAGGGUAUGGCUGUUCGCCAUUUAAAGUGGUACGCGAGCUGGGUUUAGAACGUCGUGAGACAGUUCGGUCCCUAUCUGCCGUGGGCGCUGGAGAACUGAGGGGGGCUGCUCCUAGUACGAGAGGACCGGAGUGGACGCAUCACUGGUGUUCGGGUUGUCAUGCCAAUGGCACUGCCCGGUAGCUAAAUGCGGAAGAGAUAAGUGCUGAAAGCAUCUAAGCACGAAACUUGCCCCGAGAUGAGUUCUCCCUGACUCCUUGAGAGUCCUGAAGGAACGUUGAAGACGACGACGUUGAUAGGCCGGGUGUGUAAGCGCAGCGAUGCGUUGAGCUAACCGGUACUAAUGAACCGUGAGGCUUAACCUU